AUCCCAGUAGUACAGUGCUUAGUAUGCUCACGAAAGUGAUGAGAAACGGAGGUUUGAUUCCUCCCUGGGGUG
Non-coding RNA from Diaporthe sp. PMI_573, 72 nucleotides. Lineage: Eukaryota; Fungi; Ascomycota; Sordariomycetes; Diaporthales; Diaporthaceae. The record is from the annotation of a GenBank genome assembly.